UAAAUUCAGGCUCCUCCUCAGGCUUGAAGAGAUUUCAGGAGCGGUGACUCUCAUCUGCUCGAAGAUGAGCCCACUGUGGACCUUCCUCUUCGUGCUGUCAGCUCCCAGCGGGGUCCUGUCCCAGGUGCGGCUGCAGGAGUCGGGACCCAGCCUGGUGAAGCCCUCACAGACCCUCUCCCUCACCUGCGCUGUCUCUGGAUGCUCACUAAGCAGCUAUGCUGUAGGCUGGGUCCGCCAGGCUCCAGGGAAGGCGCUGGAGUGGGUGGGUGCAAUAGGUUAUUGUGGAAGCACAUGCUAUAACCCAGCCCUGAAAUCCCGACUCAGCAUCACCAGGGACACCUCCAAGAGCCAGGUCUCUCUCUCACUGAGCAGCGUGACACCUGAGGACCCGGCCGUGUAUUACUGUGCAAAGGACACAGUGAGGGGAAGUCAGAGAGAGCCCAGACAGAAACCUCCCUGCAUGGGCGCCCAGGACCACCAGGGGGCGCUCAGGGCCACCACGUUCAGGACUCGCGCAGGAGCAGGUCUGAGGUAG
Dama dama (fallow deer) is the source of this 535-nucleotide non-coding RNA. Lineage: Eukaryota; Metazoa; Chordata; Mammalia; Artiodactyla; Cervidae. The record is from the annotation of a RefSeq genome assembly.